Psammomys obesus (fat sand rat) is the source of this 103-nucleotide small nuclear RNA. Lineage: Eukaryota; Metazoa; Chordata; Mammalia; Rodentia; Muridae. The record is from RefSeq and is a predicted model, not a curated record.
UGGCAGCACAUAUGCUAAAAUACUAAAACUGGAACAAUAAAGAGAAUUAGAAUGACCCCUGCACAAGCAUGACACAUAUAUUCGUGAAGAGUUCCAUACUUUU